Long non-coding RNA from Silurus meridionalis, 970 nucleotides. RefSeq lists it as uncharacterized. The transcript has 2 exons. The record is from RefSeq and is a predicted model, not a curated record. NCBI's taxonomy places the organism in Eukaryota, Metazoa, Chordata, Actinopteri, Siluriformes, Siluridae.
UGCUAGGAUCACCUUUUAAAAACCCACUUGUCAAGAUCUUUAUUAUGAUUUUCUCAUGACGAUCCCAUCAUUAAGAUCAUAUCAAUAAGAUCUCUUCAAUGAGAUCCCUUUAAUAAGAUUCCUUAAUUAAAAGUCCCUCAUUGAGGUUCCUUUGAUAACAUCCCUUUAUCAAGAUUUUCUUAUUAAGCUCCCAUUAUUAAGAUCUCCUCAUUAAGAUCUUCUUAUUAAGAUUCCUACAUUGAGUUCUUAUUUGAGAUUACCAUGCUAAGGAUCCUCUCACUGGAUUUCCUGCAUUAAGGAUCUUGUUCUAAGGUGGACUAAUAAACUCCUGGACACCAACUAAACCUGGGAAAAACGUCAUUAUCUCUUCAUUAUUCUAAAGACCAAAUGAUCAUCAUAGAAGUGGAAGCUCAGUGUUUCAAAUGCUGGAGUUCAAAUCCCAAAACCAGUGUUUGAAGUUUUCACUGUUCUGGUCUUUGAACAAGAGUCUUAACCCUCACCUGCUCAGAUAUUUGUAAGUUUCUGAUAAUAAUGCCAGAACAGCUGGUUAUUCCAGCUGUGGAUCAAUCUGUACUUCUUAAAGACGGCUGAUAUUUUUGCAGAUCUUCCAGCACUGAAGACACCGAACCGAAAGUACUGCAAUUACAGACACUAAUUCAUGUUUACAUUUUCUUCGUCAAACUUUAUUUUAAUACAUUUUAAUAAAUACAUCUGUACUUAUUAAAUGCAACACUUUCAGGGUGUUCUUUCACUGUUUACUCUCAAUCUUCACCUCUUUGAAUGGAGUUUUGUUUUGGUGCAGCAUACAACUUACUUUUGUAAAUCAAAUGCAUAUUUUGUCAUCUAUGGAUAAUUGGUGUUUUUCACCAUGACUUUAAAACACAUCUGAAAAAUCAUGUUUUAUUUUGUUACACUCGGUUUCAGUAAAGGAUGGAUGAAUAAAGCGCAAUGUCUGCAAAAUGCAAGUCUA